AGCUGCUCCUGCUGCAGGGAAUUUCUGAGGAUAAGUUGCCCAGAGUUCUGGAAGAGGUGAUUGUCGUGGAGGUACACUUCUGUCAUUUGUUGUAGUUGAUGUAGGUCUGGCUGGCACAGGUCUGUCAACUGCUGUGGUUGAAGUAGGCCUAUUUCGAGAAGCUGUCCUUGGGCAGAUUAAGGGGAGGAUUUUAGAUGAGGUAGCUGGGGCAGGCUGUGGACUUGUUGGCCUAGGG
Molecule: unclassified non-coding RNA, 235 nt
Filed under: Hevea brasiliensis (rubber tree)
Lineage: Eukaryota; Viridiplantae; Streptophyta; Magnoliopsida; Malpighiales; Euphorbiaceae
Source: RNAcentral